Prevotella intermedia 17 is the source of this 100-nucleotide non-coding RNA. The record is from Rfam. Lineage: Bacteria; Pseudomonadati; Bacteroidota; Bacteroidia; Bacteroidales; Prevotellaceae.
GCCCUGACUGUAUGUAGGGCGAACUCUCGCACAGUGCGAGGGCUGGAGACGUGGUCAUCUUCGGCAAAUAUUCAUAAGGUGCAGACCUCACCUUGACCCC